AGUGAACGCUGGCGGCAGGCCUAACACAUGCAAGUCGAACGGCAGCACAGUAAGAGCUUGCUCGUACGGGUGGCGAGUGGCGGACGGGUGAGGAAUACAUCGGACUCUACUUUUUCGAGGGGGAGAACGAAGGGAAACUUACGCUACUACCGCAUACGGCCUGCGGGCGAAAGAAGGGGAUCUUCGGACCUUGCGCGUUUGAAUGAGCCGAUGUCGGAUUAGCUAGUUGGCGGGGUAAAGGCCCACCAAGGCGACGAUCCGUAGCUGGUCUGAGAGGAUGAUCAGCCACACUGGAACUGAGACACGGUCCAGACUCCUACGGGAGGCAGCAGUGGGGAAUAUUGGACAAAGGGCGAAAGCCUGAUCCAGCCAUGCCGCGUGGGUGAAGAAGGCCUUCGGGUUGUAAAGCCCUUUUGUUGGGAAAGAAAAGCAGCAGGUUAAUACCCCGGUGUUAUGACGGUACCCAAAGAAUAAGCACCGGCUAACUUCGUG
This 492-nucleotide ribosomal RNA is filed under the name uncultured bacterium. Its description in RNAcentral is "partial 16S ribosomal RNA". It matches the Rfam family "Bacterial small subunit ribosomal RNA", at positions 29 to 507 of the family's 1533-position model. The record is from RNAcentral.